GAGUUUGAUCCUGGCUCAGGAUGAACGCUGGCGGCGUGCUUAACACAUGCAAGUCGAACGAAGCGUCUUAAACAGAUUUCUUCGGAUUGACGUUUUUGGCGACUGAGUGGCGGACGGGUGAGUAACGCGUGGGUAACCUGCCUCAUACAGGGGGAUAACAGUUAGAAAUGACUGCUAAUACCGCAUAAGCGCACGAUACCGCAUGGUAUUGUGUGAAAACUCCGGUGGUAUGAGAUGGACCCGCGUCUGAUUAGCUUGUUGGCGGGU
Molecule: ribosomal RNA, 267 nt
Filed under: uncultured bacterium
Lineage: Bacteria
Description: partial 16S ribosomal RNA
Rfam family: Bacterial small subunit ribosomal RNA
Source: RNAcentral